This 1944-nucleotide ribosomal RNA is filed under the name Triticum aestivum (bread wheat). RNAcentral describes it as "partial small subunit ribosomal RNA". Lineage: Eukaryota; Viridiplantae; Streptophyta; Magnoliopsida; Poales; Poaceae. The record is from RNAcentral.
CUUUUAUUAUUAUUAAAGACUAGCACUAUUAAGUCUCGCUGCCCUUGUCCGAUGAGAUUGUCGUCGGUGUGUAAAUGUACCUGGCAUUUAAUGAGUCCGAUGAGAUGAUGCGUAGUACUUGUGCUUAGUCUCGCAUUCGCUGCCAAUGUCCGCUUGCGCAGCGGCAGCCCGGCCGACAUCCCCUGCCGCGCUCGCCGCUCGGAAGGAAACGCGAAGAGGUACUUGGCGACGUCGCUGCGGAAGGAGCGGUACCCGUCCAGCGGCAGGGGAGCGCACCACGGACGACGCCGUCGCUGUGCCUCGUCGAGCCGGCGGGACAGCAGGCCCUGGAGCAGCUCAUGGUCGUGGACGGGCGGCAUCUUCUACCAGUAGACGCGGAAGCGGCCGCCUCCUGGGCGGCGGACGAGCAGAACGCGCCCGUGUAGGCGAGGCCCGUACUCCCCCUCCUGGUGGCACCGGCGGCCGACGCGCAGGCGGCGGAACUACGUCGCCGACUCUUGCGGCGUGCGACGCCGCUUGGCAGCCGAGACUCGCGAGGGACUGCGGCGGUAAGAACCGCGAGCUAGCUAGCUGGGGAGGCAUCCGAGAGCUUGGGGGACAGGUGAGACGGAGACGAUCAACUAGCCCACAACACAACCAACCUCCUUCCUCUAACUACCUGACCUCUACCAAUCUACCCAAACUAAAUAUUCUUGUCUUAGUUAUUGAAGGCUUGCAGACUAAAAAUCCUCGACGCAGGCUUGCGCGGGUUUCGGUAAGCUAGUUUACUUGCUUAGAACUUCGCCUAUCGGUCGGUGCAGUAUGUGUCGACUGACAAGCCCUAACUCCCUCUUGCCAGGCUUGCUGUUGCGUCGGGUGAGAGGGGUGGGUGUUGUGCGCCGGGUGAGGGGGCUGUUGGUAUAGGUAAGGAGGGUGAGAGUCGGUGUAGAGCUUAGGAGCUCUCAAAGCUGGCCGCGGGGAGCGGCGGCCCGUACCUCCGCUCGCCACCUCCACAGUGGUACGCGCGGCGCCGGAGCGAGCCUCCACCUCCUUGCUCAUCUCCCGCGCGAGCCACCCGCCGUACCGCUCCGUCUUCCACCUCUCCCUCACCCGCCGGUACGGCGCCGCCUCGUCUCGCCCUACUCCGCCUCGUCCUUCGGAGUUACCACACGCUGCAACCCUCCCUCCGCUCUCUCCGCCUCUCGUGCCCCCUCUGCUCCAGCACCGCCAAGUGACGUAGCACCCGGUGGCCGUCGUGUGCCCCCGUCCUCCACUUCUUCUACUCUAGUACCGCCGGCCCCGUCGCUCUCAACGUCUCGGCUCCUUCCCUCCAACGCCCUCCGGGCGCUCCUUCUUCCUCCCGAUGGAGCGCCUCCCCUUCCCCUCGUCGCCCGCCGGCCUGCGCAUCCGCCUCGAGUUGUACGGCGGCCCGAAGGCGAAUGUGGGGUGCUUGCUGCUUGAGCAGCACGUGAUGGAGACGUCCCUCCACCGCCGGUCGGCGUCGGCACGGGUACUAGACGGACCACGCAGAAGAAGGAGAGGGGACGAAGAGCGCUGGUACAAAAGGAAGAGGACGAAGCAGCGAGUAACGAAAGCAGACUAAGUUACAUACUACCGGCAACCCACGCACGUCUUGUACGUCUCGUCCCUCACCAUGAAAAGGACAAACUUGAUCGAACAAAAAACAUGAACAAGUUGAUAGUUUUACGUACAUUUAAACUUGGAAAACAAAACGGGGAGGACUUACACUUAACAUGCUUAUGAUCGGAAAAACAAGACAAAAUAUCCACACCGUUUUUACGACUUAACUACCUUGAACGAUGACUUUGACUAGACCUUGUUUUUACGAUUUGACUAGACUUUGUCUUUUUCAGUUUAAGGAAAUCGUACCCAGGACGAUGACUUUAAACGGUAUAUGGGUAAAACUGUCAUCGUGCCGUUAAAAAUAUUCAUACAUAUAGUACC